UUGGGGUGGCCCCACGCCUUCCUGUCGGGCAUGGGGCAUGGGGCAUGAGUCGGGCAGCCCGACUCAUGGCCAGUCUGCCCGACCCUUGGCCAAUCCCCGCGAGUGGGUAAGCGCCACACUCAUCAAGGACAUCAUCAUCAUCCAGCACCGCGUCGCAGCCCCGAUUCUGAGAAGACGACGGCUGCCCUGAAACCUGGCCGGAGUGCGUGCCGCCCUGAGCAUCUGAAAUGCCAGAAUCACACAUGCUGCCACCACUUGUUCAAAAACCAGGCAGAGGCAAAAGAAACGACAUGGCCGUUCCUGGUGCAUCGAGCGACAAGCCUGGCUUGGACAAGAGAAAAGCGUCGCCGAAGAUGCUCGUGCCGCUUAUCCCCAGGAUUCCAAAGACCGCCUCGAUGCUGCUAAAGUUCUUCAUCGAGCUCGAGAGCAAGGUGUCGAUUAUGCGCGAGCCGCUGUCACACUUCUGCCAGGAAGAGGCAGUUCUCCAUGUGCAAGAGUGCCAACUCAAGCUCAACAAGCAGGUCAUCAUGUACGAGGACGUUCGCGAUCUAGUCGAGAAUUUGGUCCAUAAGACGGUAACAAUCCCUACCGAAGCUCCGCCGACCUGCCGCACAAGCUUCUAUAGCGAUGAGCUGUAACACCAACUUCCUGUUUUUUUUUUGUAUCCUAUGCAGUGCGUUCGAAGUUACUAUCAAAGUUUUCCCACAGAAAUGUGCAGCAGGUGCACAGAAUAAAGUCGUGCAAGCUCUCACGUUCCGUAAGUACGCAGACGUGGUCAGUUCUAACAACGAGAUGGUCCUUCCUGGGUGAUGUGCUGUUCGAAAUCGACGGCGUGUUAGCACAUGACCGACACCAAUGUCCCGUCGAAGUCUACAGCAGCUGAUACACAGACCGACUGCAUCAUUAUUGGCCCUGCCCUCGGACAACUGUUUUCUCGUAUCUGUAUGAAACCUGUAUUAUUGUAUACGGCAAAAAGUGCAUAACUUUCAAAUGCUUGUAUUAUGCCAUUUAAAGAGAUCGCUCGCAAGCUUCCCUCCAUAACGCAUUUGUUAUUUUGGCAGUAUUUCGCCAUUGCAUUUUUGUGUGAUAUUAUGGUAUGUUGGAAUACUUUCUCUAAUUACGCUUCAUUGGAGGGGAACGUCUAUUCAAUGCACCAUAAUAAGAAGGAACAUUGCUGAUGUCGCGGAUUUAGCAUGUACUUAGACACUGUGCUGCGAUCCUGCAGGCUGUAAUCCAGUUGCUUCUGGCUUGCAUUAUUAAAGAAAAUCUAAGUAUGUGUGUGAA
This is an RNA transcript of Dermacentor albipictus, 1284 nucleotides long. RefSeq lists it as uncharacterized. The record is from RefSeq and is a predicted model, not a curated record. Lineage: Eukaryota; Metazoa; Arthropoda; Arachnida; Ixodida; Ixodidae.